UUUUUUUUGAAUAUUGAUUUGUUUUUUCGUGAAUCAAUAUUCUCAGUUUUUAUUGAUUUAGAGCUCUUAAUUUGUUUACGUUAUAAAUUAAUUCAUAUAUAAAUAGAUAUGAAUUGAUUUAGAUUGAUGCUUUAUUACACUACCUUUUAUGAGAUAACCCAUAGACCUUUACAUAUUAGAAUUCUAUAUCAUUGAUAUUUUUUUCUCUCUUUCUUUCACCUCUUCAUUUAUCUGUAUAUUUUUAUUGCUUUACAACUAAAUAAGAUUUUUGUUCUUUUAUGGUUCACAAUAGUUCAGUUGCUAUAAUAUAUCUUUUUUU
This 319-nucleotide long non-coding RNA is filed under the name Glycine max (soybean). RNAcentral describes it as "long non-coding RNA (GMAX_LNC000221)". The record is from RNAcentral. Lineage: Eukaryota; Viridiplantae; Streptophyta; Magnoliopsida; Fabales; Fabaceae.